AGAGUUGCUAUGAUGCUGAAAACUACCUAUUUUAUGAUUCUUGAUUAGAAACAACCAAUGGAUCCUUCUGAGCACUCUU
This is a small nucleolar RNA of Cynara cardunculus var. scolymus (artichoke), 79 nucleotides long. The record is from RefSeq and is a predicted model, not a curated record. Lineage: Eukaryota; Viridiplantae; Streptophyta; Magnoliopsida; Asterales; Asteraceae.